UGGGGAAUAUUGCACAAUGGGCGCAAGCCUGAUGCAGCAACGCCGCGUGAACGAUGAAGGUCUUCGGAUCGUAAAGUUCUGUUGCAGGGGAAGAUAAUGACGGUACCCUGUGAGGAAGCCCCGGCUAACUACGUGCCAGCAGCCGCGGUAAUACGUAGGGGGCUAGCGUUAUCCGGAUUUACUGGGCGUAAAGGGUGCGUAGGUGGUCCUUCAAGUCGGUGGUUAAAGGCUACGGCUCAACCGUAGUAAGCCGCCGAAAAUGGAGGACUUGGGUGCAGGAGAGGGAAGGGGAAUUCCCAGUGGAGCGGUGAAAUGGGUAGAUAUUGGGAGGAAAACCAGUAGCGGAGGCGGCUUUCUGGGCUGCAACUGACACUGAGGCACGAAAGGGUGGGUAGCAAACAGG
RNAcentral lists this ribosomal RNA (403 nucleotides) under Verrucomicrobiota bacterium. RNAcentral describes it as "Verrucomicrobia bacterium partial 16S ribosomal RNA". It matches the Rfam family "Bacterial small subunit ribosomal RNA", at positions 355 to 776 of the family's 1533-position model. The record is from RNAcentral. Lineage: Bacteria; Pseudomonadati; Verrucomicrobiota.